This 487-nucleotide ribosomal RNA is filed under the name uncultured bacterium. RNAcentral's name for it is "partial 16S ribosomal RNA". It matches the Rfam family "Bacterial small subunit ribosomal RNA", at positions 28 to 523 of the family's 1533-position model. The record is from RNAcentral.
GAUGAACGCUGGCGGCGUGCUUAACACAUGCAAGUCGAACGAAGCACUUUUAAUUCUUCGGAAGAGAAAGUGACUGAGUGGCGGACGGGUGAGUAACGCGUGGGUAACCUGCCUUAUACAGGGGGAUAACAGUUAGAAAUGACUGCUAAUACCGCAUAAGCCGAUAGAGUCGCAUGACUUAGUCGGAAAAGAUUUAUCGGUAUAAGAUGGACCCGCGUCUGAUUAGCUAGUUGGUGAGGUAAUGGCCCACCAAGGCGGCGAUCAGUAGCCGGCUUGAGAGAGUGAACGGCCACAUUGGGACUGAGACACGGCCCAAACUCCUACGGGAGGCAGCAGUGGGGAAUAUUGCACAAUGGGGGAAACCCUGAUGCAGCAACGCCGCGUGAAGGAAGAAGUAUUUCGGUAUGUAAACUUCUAUCAGCAGGGAAGAAAAUGACGGUACCUGACUAAGAAGCCCCGGCUAACUACGUGCCAGCCGCCGCCGUAA